CACGUGGGUGAUCUGCCCUGCACUUUGGGAUAAGCCUGGGAAACUGGGUCUAAUACCGAAUACACCCUGCUGGUCGCAUGGCCUGGUGGGGGAAAGCUUUUGCGGUGUGGGAUGGGCCCGCGGCCUAUCAGCUUGUUGGUGGGGUGAUGGCCUACCAAGGCGACGACGGGUAGCCGGCCUGAGAGGGUGUCCGGCCACACUGGGACUGAGAUACGGCCCAGACUCCUACGGGAGGCAGCAGUAGGGAAUAUUGCACAAUGGGCGCAAGCCUGAUGCAGCGACGCCGCGUGAGGGAUGACGGCCUUCGGGUUGCAAACCCCUUUCGCAACCGACGAAGCUUUUGUGACGGUAGGUUGAGAAGAAGCACCGGCUAACUACGUG
Molecule: ribosomal RNA, 381 nt
Filed under: uncultured Actinomycetes bacterium
Lineage: Bacteria; Bacillati; Actinomycetota; Actinomycetes
Description: bacterial SSU rRNA
Rfam family: Bacterial small subunit ribosomal RNA
Source: RNAcentral